UACGUAGGGGGCAAGCGUUGUCCGGAUUUAUUGGGCGUAAAGAGCGUGUAGGCGGCCAUACAGGUCAGCUGUGAAAACUCGAGGCUCAACCUCGAGACGUCGGUUGAAACCGUAUGGCUAGAGUCCGGAAGAGGAGAGUGGAAUUCCCGGUGUAGCGGUGAAAUGCGCAGAUAUCAGGAGGAACACCAGCGGCGAAGGCGGCGCUCUGGGCCGGUACUGACGCUGAGGAGCGAAAGCGUGGGUAGCAAACAGG
This 253-nucleotide ribosomal RNA is filed under the name uncultured bacterium. RNAcentral describes it as "partial 16S ribosomal RNA". It matches the Rfam family "Bacterial small subunit ribosomal RNA", at positions 524 to 776 of the family's 1533-position model. The record is from RNAcentral.